CGGUCCAGACACCUACGGGUGGCAGCAGUCGAGAAUCAUUCACAAUGGGGGAAACCCUGAUGGUGCGACGCCGCGUGGGGGAUGAAGGUCUUCGGAUUGUAAACCCCUGUCAUUUGUGAACAAACCUUUUGGUUUAAUAGAUCAAAAGCUGAUAGUAGCAAAAGAGGAAGGGACGGCUAACUCCGUGCCAGCAGCCGCGGUAAUACGGAGGUCCCAAGCGUUGUUCGGAUUUACUGGGCGUAAAGGGUGCGUAGGUGGCCAGGAAAGUUUGAUGUGAAAGCUCCGAGCUCAACUCGGAAAAUGCAUUGAAUACUACUUGGCUUGAGGAUCGGAGGGGAGACUGGAAUUCUCGGUGUAGCAGUGAAAUGCGUAGAUAUCGAGAGGAACACCAGUGGCGAAGGCGAGUCUCUGGACGAUUCCUGACACUGAGGCACGAAAGCUAGGGGAGCAAACAGGAUUAGAUACCCUGGUAGUCCUAGCCGUAAACGGUGCACACUUGCUGUAGGAGGAUUCGACCCCUUCUGUGGCGGAGCAAACGCGUUAAGUGUGCCGCCUGGGGAGUACGGUCGCAAGAUUAAAACUCAAAGAAAUUGACGGGGGCCUGCACAAGCGGUGGAGUAUGUGGCUUAAUUCGAUGCAACGCGAAGAACCUUACCUGGCCUUGACAUGCAUCUCUAAGCGUGUGAAAGCACGUGACCCUUCGGGGAAUUUGCACAGGUGCUGCAUGGCUGUCGUCAGCUCGUGUCGUGAGAUGUUGGGUUAAGUCCCGCAACGAGCGCAACCCUUGUGUCCUGUUGCCACUUCCGCUAACGCGGAAAGCACUCUGGACAGACUGCCUCGUCUCAACGAGGAGGAAGGUGGGGAUGACGUCAAGUCAGUAUGGCCCUUACGGCCAGGGCUGCACACGUACUACAAUGCCUGGUACAAUGGGAAGCAAUACCGUGAGGUGGAGCAAAUCCUCAAAACCAGGCCCAGUUCAGAUUGUAGUCUGCAACUCGACUACAUGAAGUCGGAAUCGCUAGUAAUGGCGCAUCAGCUACGGCGCCGUGAAUACGUUCCCAGGCCUUGUACACACCGCCCGUCACAUCAUGAAAGCCGGUUGUACCCGAAGUCGCUGAGCUAACCCGCAAGGGAGGCAAGUGCCGAAGGUAUGGCUGGUAAUUGGGAUGAAGUCGUAACAAGGUAGCCGUAGGGGAACCUGCGGCUG
RNAcentral lists this ribosomal RNA (1207 nucleotides) under marine metagenome. RNAcentral describes it as "bacterial SSU rRNA". It matches the Rfam family "Bacterial small subunit ribosomal RNA", at positions 327 to 1520 of the family's 1533-position model. The record is from RNAcentral.